UACGGAGGGUGCAAGCGUUAUCCGGAUUCACUGGGUUUAAAGGGUGCGUAGGAGGGCAGGUAAGUCAGUGGUGAAAUCCUAGAGCUUAACUCUAGAACUGCCGUUGAUACUAUCUGUCUUGAAUCCCGUGGAGAUGAGCGGAAUAUGUCAUGUAGCGGUGAAAUGCUUAGAUAUGACAUAGAACACCAAAUUGCGAAGGCAGCUCGUUACACGAAGAUUGACUCUGAGGCACGAAAAGCGUGGGGAUCAAACAGG
RNAcentral lists this ribosomal RNA (255 nucleotides) under uncultured bacterium. Its description in RNAcentral is "partial 16S ribosomal RNA". It matches the Rfam family "Bacterial small subunit ribosomal RNA", at positions 524 to 776 of the family's 1533-position model. The record is from RNAcentral.